UACGUAGGGUGCGAGCGUUGUCCGGAAUUAUUGGGCGUAAAGAGCUCGUAGGCGGUUUGUCGCGUCGGCCGUGAAAACUUCCAGCUUAACUGGGGGCUUGCGGUCGAUACGGGCAGACUUGAGUUCGGCAGGGGAGACUGGAAUUCCUGGUGUAGCGGUGAAAUGCGCAGAUAUCAGGAGGAACACCGGUGGCGAAGGCGGGUCUCUGGGCCGAUACUGACGCUGAGGAGCGAAAGCGUGGGGAGCGAACAGG
Molecule: ribosomal RNA, 253 nt
Filed under: uncultured bacterium
Lineage: Bacteria
Description: partial 16S ribosomal RNA
Rfam family: Bacterial small subunit ribosomal RNA
Source: RNAcentral